UACAGAGGGUGCGAGCGUUAAUCGGAAUUACUGGGCGUAAAGCGCACGUAGGUGGUUCUGUAAGUCGGAUGUGAAAGCCCCGGGCUUAACCUGGGAACUGCAUUCGAGACUGCAGUACUGGAGUAUGGGAGAGGGAAGCGGAAUUUCCGGUGUAGCGGUGAAAUGCGUAGAUAUCGGAAGGAACAUCAGUGGCGAAAGCGGCUUCCUGGCCCAAUACUGACACUCAUGUGCGAAAGCGUGGGGAGCAAACAGGAUUAGAAACCCCGU
Molecule: ribosomal RNA, 267 nt
Filed under: uncultured bacterium
Lineage: Bacteria
Description: partial 16S ribosomal RNA
Rfam family: Bacterial small subunit ribosomal RNA
Source: RNAcentral